CCUACGGGAGGCAGCAGUGGGGAAUUUUGGGCAAUGGGCGCAAGCCUGAUCCAGCCAUGCCGCGUGUGUGAAGAAGGCCUUCGGGUUGUAAAGCACUUUCGGCCGGAACGAAAUCGCCUUUGUUAAUAGCGAGGGUGGAUGACGGUACCGGAAGAGGAAGCACCGGCUAACUACGUGCCAGCAGCCGCGGUAAUACGUAGGGUGCGAGCGUUAAUCGGAAUUACUGGGCGUAAAGGGUGCGCAGGCGGCGUCGCAAGUCAGGCGUGAAAUCCCCGGGCUUAACCUGGGAACUGCACUUGAAACUACGAUGCUCGAGUAUGGCAGAGGGAGGUGGAAUUCCACGUGUAGCGGUGAAAUGCGUAGAGAUGUGGAGGAACACCGAUGGCGAAGGCAGCCUCCUGGGCCAAUACUGACGCUCAUGCACGAAAGCGUGGGGAGCAAACAGGAUUAGAUACCCUGGUAGUCCACGCCCUAAACGAUGAUGACUAGUUGUUGGAGGAGUUAAAUCCUUUAGUAACGCAGCUAACGCGAGAAGUCAUCCGCCUGGGGAGUACGGUCGCAAGAUUAAAACUC
Molecule: ribosomal RNA, 573 nt
Filed under: uncultured bacterium
Lineage: Bacteria
Description: bacterial SSU rRNA
Rfam family: Bacterial small subunit ribosomal RNA
Source: RNAcentral